Long non-coding RNA from Homo sapiens (human), 2162 nucleotides. RefSeq lists it as uncharacterized. The transcript is spliced from 3 exons. The record is from RefSeq and is marked validated. Lineage: Eukaryota; Metazoa; Chordata; Mammalia; Primates; Hominidae.
AGCGCGCAGCCGGCCGCCCUCAACCGCUCCCAGCAUCGGUUGCCGGUGGUUCGGGGCAGGGAGACGACGCAGCGCGAGCGGAAAGGGCGGUUACCCAACGGCCUUAGCUCUCAUGGCGUCCUCCGUGGUGUUACCUAAAAAUAAAGUUAUUUGUGAUUAGAAGGUAAUCGCCUCCUGGUCAUGCUUCCGCUGGUCAACAGUGUCUGCGGGGCGACCCCAUCCUUGUGGCCAGAGAGGGCCUGUGGCUGCGCUCAAGGCGGGAGCGGUCCUUAGCGGGGCCCUGCGGGACGCCCAGGCCGCGCUCCUUUCCCUUGCUCGCCUGGCCUUGAAGUGAAGGGGGAGGUUUAACAAUGCAGUGGGAACCCCAAAGUUUGUCUCGGCCGUGCUGCUCACAUUCCAAACAAUGCAAAAGGUUGAGGAAAACCUCAGCAGUUGAAACCGUGAUGCAUUUCAGCAAAGAAGUAGCUCCUGUCCUCGUAAAAUCAGUGAAGUUCUCACGGACGACCUCAUUGAAAGUUUUCAUGGGCUGAGCUGCUGACUUCAGCCUGGGAACUGAGGCCAACAUCGGAGUCUCCUCGGCACACAAGUUUGAAAGAAGUCCUAGUGACUUCAAGCUCAGAACCAUGGACGGCAGGGCUCCCUCUGGAUGUGGAAUUCUCCGUCCCUUUCCAGGGAGGGAACAAAGCCCACAAGCACCGAGACUCCUUCAGGGUGAGCAAAGGCCUGGAAAAACCUGUAUGCAGAUAAAGAAAAGGAAAGAAAGAGAUAAUCAGUGCAUGCAGUUGUCAGCUGGCUGGGACCUGAGGAGAGUCACUUGUGGAGGCAACUGGUCUUUAUCCCCAUUGUCCGGUACAAGGCAGGCAUUAAUCCUGUGAUCCUUAUCUGAAGCUCAGGUUUGAUUUUAUUCUUUUCUUAAGUACCUACUGUUAUCCCCAAGCUUAUAAUAAUAGUUUAAUUGUUACAGCCAGUAUCUCACCUUCAGAAGUAAGAUGCUUAGGAAACCAAGACAAGGAACUGUGUGUUGCAAACAGCAUCACCCUGGAGAAGAGGUGGCAGGAGGUGACCUACAGAAAAUGGAGUAAUAGCCUAGAGCAAGAAACACAGAACAAAAGAGAAAUGAGGGGUUAGGCAACCUCCUGGAGCACCAAUGGGACAAGCACAUAUUCAGGGGCCUCCUAACAGACUCGACUUCCAGCAUCCUCAGAUGGUGCUAGACACGUUACAUAGACGUUCAAGAGUAGAGAACUCAGGGACUUCUGAUUUAUAUCAAGAAAUGCAUACACAGCAGACGUGUGCCUGUGGAGUGGAAUUCUGGAAAAGCUCACAGCCCAGAACAUAAUGCAGACUCCCCCAGCCACAGCACCUUCCAAACCUGAGAAGAGUGCUGAUUCUCCAUCUGAGCACCCAUUCUCCUGCAACAUCAGGGGAGAGGAUUUCACCUAAGGGUCAGACCAGCAUCUCCAAACCCAGCUCCCCACCUUUGCCUGUUGGUGGCACUUGUGGGAGAAGGGGAGAUGGUAUGAAAAGAGCCACAACAGGAGUCACCUGGACAGGGUGGAGCUUGAUGGAAACUGACAUUUGUGCCCAUUGGAGGCAAAUGUAGAAUUUGGUAUCUUCCGUAGCGUCAGGCACAUGAAACUCUCCAGUGCCCAUGACUUUUGACAGUGACUUCAGAGCACAUCUGGGAGACCCAUGUGGCCCAGGCUCCACACAGGCAGGAGCUCAGCUUCACUCACAGCAGGAUUCCUAGUGCCAAGAACACCAUAGGUGCAUAGCAGGUGAUCAAAAUAAUUGUAUGUGGCUGAAUCAGUGAGAGGUAAGAGAGAGGACUUGAUCCUAGCUGCAAACUAAGAGACCUCAUUAAAACCUAACAUGUGGCUGGGUGUGGUGGCUCACGCCUGUAAGCCCAGCACUUUGGGAGGCCGAGGGGUGGAUCACCUGAGGUCAGGAGUUCAAGACAAGCCUGGCCAACGUGGUGAAAACCCAUCUCUACUAAAUAUACAAAAAAUUGGCUGGGCAUGGUGGCAGGUGCCUGUAAUCCCAGCUACUUGGGAGGCUGAGGCAGGAGAAUCACUUGAACCCAGGAGGCGGAGGUUGCAGUGAGCCGAGAUUGCACCACUAUACUCCAGCCUGGCAAUAAGAGCAAAAGUCCGUCUCAAAAC